AACGAACGCUGGCGGCAUGCCUAACACAUGCAAGUCGAACGAGACCUUCGGGUCUAGUGGCGCACGGGUGCGUAACGCGUGGGAACCUGCCCUUAGGUUCGGAAUAACUCCCCGAAAGGGGUGCUAAUACCGGAUCAUGUCUUCGGACCAAAGAUUUAUCGCCUUUGGAUGGGCCCGCGUUGGAUUAGCUCGUUGGUAGGGUAAAAGCCUACCAAGGCGACGAUCCAUAGCUGGUCUGAGAGGAUGAUCAGCCACACUGGGACUGAGACACGGCCCAGACUCCUACGGGAGGCAGCAGUGGGGAAUAUAGGACAAUGGGCGAAAGCCUGAUCCAGCAAGGCCGCGUGAGUGAUGAAGGCCUUAGGGUUGUAAAGCUCUUUUACCCGGGAUGAUAAUGACAGUACCGGGAGAAUAAGCGCCGGCUAACUCCGUG
This 433-nucleotide ribosomal RNA is filed under the name uncultured bacterium. Its description in RNAcentral is "partial 16S ribosomal RNA". It matches the Rfam family "Bacterial small subunit ribosomal RNA", at positions 29 to 507 of the family's 1533-position model. The record is from RNAcentral.